UUACUAAAAGCGAAUCGCACUAAGUUUCGACCUUAGCUUUGGAUUAUUUUUUCCUUAGUAAA
Molecule: transfer RNA, 62 nt
Filed under: Planorbella pilsbryi
Lineage: Eukaryota; Metazoa; Mollusca; Gastropoda; Planorbidae
Description: tRNA-Arg
Source: RNAcentral